RNAcentral lists this ribosomal RNA (422 nucleotides) under uncultured bacterium. Its description in RNAcentral is "bacterial SSU rRNA". It matches the Rfam family "Bacterial small subunit ribosomal RNA", at positions 355 to 774 of the family's 1533-position model. The record is from RNAcentral.
UGAGGAAUAUUGGGCAAUGCCCGCAAGGGUGACCCAGCAACGCCGCGUGGAGGAUGAAUGUCGUAAGAUUGUAAACUCCUGUUAGAGGGGAAGAAUAGUACCGGUUGGACCGGUAUAUGACUGUACCCUCAGAGAAAGCCCCGGCUAACUACGUGCCAGCAGCCGCGGUAAUACGUAGGGGGCAAGCGUUGUCCGGAUUUACUGGGUGUAAAGGGCGCGCAGGCGGGAUAAAAAGUCAGUGGUGAAAUCCUACAGCUUAACUGUAGAACUGCCUUGGNUACUUUUAUUCUUGAGUUCGGGAGAGAGAGACGGAAUUCCAGGUGUAGUGGUGAAAUACGUAGAUAUCUGGAAGAACACCAGUUGCGAAGGCGGUCUCUUGGUCCGACACUGACGCUGAGGCGCGAAAGCGUGGGGAGCAAACA